Long non-coding RNA from Larimichthys crocea (large yellow croaker), 866 nucleotides. RefSeq lists it as uncharacterized. Lineage: Eukaryota; Metazoa; Chordata; Actinopteri; Sciaenidae. The transcript is spliced from 2 exons. The record is from RefSeq and is a predicted model, not a curated record.
CCAACUAUUUCUGUUCCACAACACAGUAAGAACAAAGAGGAAUAAGCUACUACCCUCCCGCACCGCCUCUCCACGCUCUUCUCCACUUUAGCUCAUGGCUAACUCAAUGAGCCCUGCGCAGAUGGUCCCAUAACGCCGCCGCAGCUGUACGGCUGUAAAACGACGCCACGCCCCAGCGAGGAGGAGGUUGAUAUACAUUCAGAUAUUCAAAUGAGGCCAUAACCUCUCUCUCUCUCUCCGCCGUGCUUCGCUGGAAGUGGAAGAGAGGUGUGGGAGGAGAACGAGGAUGGAGGGGGGUGGAUGGAGGUUGGAUAAGGAUGAUGAAGAGCAAGAAAGCGGCAAGACCUUAGAUAAAAGAGAGGCAGGGUGAAGGAAGAGAGAUCUGAUGUUUCCUCGAUUGGCAAAGAAAAGUCGCAGCUUUUCUCCCCCCCCAGACCGGUUCCAAUCUGGACCGCAUGGAUCCGUGGCACCGGAUCAGCUCCUAAGGUCUGCAAGAGACGUCUUUAUCUGAAUGCUCUAAAAAAAAUAAAAAGCACCGGGGUGACUAAGUCAAUCUUGCGUCAUUCAUCUGAAACAAUCGUCAUAAGGUUUGGCACAGAGGCGGCUUGAUUGAGCCAAGAGGAAACUAGACAGGAAAGAAAGCCAAAAAGUGAGUUGGUUGGUAUUUGGGGAGACGCCUCGAUCCAGAAAAAGAAGGAAUGUGCCGCAAUCGGUAUUAAAAUGUGUUGGAAUUCGGGCAGCGGAGUGGAUACAAACAGCCAUGUCUUCGUUUUGAUGACUCUUUUUCAGGAUUAUUGGCAGCGUAAUGGGGUUACAACCUGUCAUAAACAAACUGUGAUCCAAGAGAAGUCGAAUUUAAGCAAAAA